AUUGAAAAGUAUAUAGUGUAGUGAGCUAAUGACGGAAUCCUCAUUAUCAAGAUACUAAUCAUACUAGUAAACAAAUGUGAUGUAUCUAAAUUAUUCACAACCAAGAUAUGCAAGAUUGGAGUAAAUGAAGUUGAAAAAGAAAAAUCAAAGCACAACCAUAACAACAACAACAACAACAACAACAACACAAGAUUUACGUAGUUCACUAGCCGUCUACGGGCACGGAGAGAUUAAAUCCGCUAUCAAAUAAGGAGAUUAUAAGAUUUGGUUAUAGAUUACCACUCUAUUACAAUGGGCUUGCAACCUUCUAAUUGGGAAAAAUCUUUCUUGCUACACCUUUAUUUAAGCACCUUCCGAGUCCGCGAAACUCGCUUCGAAAUGAGUCUUAGAAUUCCUCCAAUCAAUCUUGAAAGCUUUGAAUCAAGCAAGAAUUCAAGCUUUAAAUCAAGCAAGAAGAACAAGAGAGCUCCUUCUCCAAUCCUCUCUACACCUCCCUUCUCUAUCUCAAGAAAAGGAAAAACCUAGGGAGCAAACAAAAUGAAAACUCUUUCUUUCUAAAACCCAAAGAGAUUCUCUCUUAACACUAUUUGGCCCAACAUACCAAAUGGAUCAACUAAAGCACAAAUCAAUUAUUAACUAGUUCAUUACAUGAGCUGUUGAACCAAAUUCAAAAUAAAACUAAUUAGGCUAAUAAGUGAAUUUGAUAUCACCCAACAUAUGGGAGGUGAAACUGGUCAAAGAGAUAUAAUAAAAUUAAAAAAAAAAAAGGGGGGGACACAACAUAACAUUUGGAAAAGGGCGGCCCCAACUUCCUUAUUCCGGCUCUUCCUGAAGGGAUAGGUCUUUACAAUAGCUGUUGUCCUGUUCUUUAAGAUCGUCAUCAUUGCAACAUUUAUAUAUUUCACAAACUGAAAACAAUGAGGACAAAAAAACAAUAAAAAUCCAUUGGAUUUUAUACAGGAUUAAGUUUCUAUCUUUGACAAUUUACAUCAAUUCUAAAAUAUUCAGCAUUUAUUUUAACCUAGGAGUACUGUAAUUCACCUUACUGUUCCUUCCGCCCGCUAAAAAGGAGAUCAUAUUUCAAAGUUAAAGAAACAAAAAGGAUAUUUAUAGAUGCCUGUCACCGGCAUUUCAAUAUAAACUAGUGAAGGCCCGCGCUACGCGGCGGAAAAUUUAUAUAAAUUCUAAAAUAUUUUGAAUAGUAUAAUAAAUAAAAUAAUGUGAAUCAGGAAUAGCCGUACUAAAAUAUGAAUUAGAAUUCAGAAUUCAUAUAAAAGGUAACUUAUAUGAAUUUUGAAUGCCUGGUCUUCAGAAUUCAGAAUUCCUAAUUUUUGACCUAAAAAUUACAUAAUUGAUAACAGACAUGAAGCUAAAGUUUGUUAUGGAAAAAAGGCUGCUCAAUAAUCGAACAGUUUAUAAUGCUACUGCUUGCUACUAAAGUAGUAAUGGUGGAAUUCUUUAGUACUAAAAAAUUUGGUUGAGGUAAUAUAAUUAUUUAGUGUCAAAAAAAUAUACUAAUUACUAAAAUAUAAAAUUUACUCACAGUACGCUUGCUCUCUUCUUUUUUUUUUUUUUUUUACUUUCUCUUCACAGUUCCAUUCAUGGAUGUAGUAUAGAUGAAGCCUCUUCCUUUUCUUAACCUUUUUUUUUUGUUUUUUUUUUUACUUUUUCUUAAUAGUAGUAUCCAUGGAUGUAGUGUAGACGAAGUUUCCCUAAACCGUGGGGAGCCUCUCUUAAGCUUCUUUACGAAGAGAGGGGGCGGACGACACGUUAGCUAGCAGGAGAAACUCAAGUUUCAAAGAUAGAGAUGGUAGAAUUAUUUAUUGCCGGAAAGUUUGGGGGGGUAUCAAAAUAAUUUUGAUACACAGUUCAAGAAUCAUAUAAUUAAUAACUGAUAUGAAGCUAGAGUUUGUUAUGGAAAAAGUGGUGGUGAAAUUCUCAAGUACUAAAAAGAUUGGUAGAAAUAAUAGAAUUAUUUAGUGUUGAAAAUUAUGAGUACAUUAUGUUAAUAUAAAAUAUACUAAUUAUUAAAAUAUGUUUUCGCAUUCGGACGAGCCAAUAUUGGACCGUCAUGAGUCUAUUCUACUAUGCCCUAAGUGUGCAUAUUCAUAACAAAUACAAGUUCGCAUUCAAACGAAUAGGAAUUGAAACCCCUUGGGGCGGUCCUAUUGUGCGCUAAGAGUUUAUGCGCGCAAUAAAAUCAUGUUCACAAGCAAACGUGCAAAAACUAAGACUUCAUGGGACUGUUCUAUUGUUCCCAUAGAGUAGAAAUUCGCAACGAACGUAUGUUCACCUUCAAAGGAACAAAAACUGAAACCUGAUGAGAUUUUUUGAAUAUGCUCUAAGAGUGUAAAUUUGCAACAAAUACAUGUUCGACUUCAAACGCACAAAAAUCGAAACCUCAUUAAGCCGUUAUAUUGCGCCCUUUAUGGCAUGCCAGUUGCUGGCCAUAAUCCCUAAAAAUAGAGGUUAGAACAACCGGGGUAAGUCAGGUCGUAGCCUGGUUAGGAAAAGUUCAGCUAAUUUGAAUUUGAUAGGAGAAGGUUCAUUUGCCGGGCUUAGGCGUUCCGUUAGAGACUAGUUACAAGUUAAUCAUAUCCCUUUCUCUAACGAAGUUAUUAAUAACUCAUUGAUAGUGGGCUUCAAGUGAUUGAAGGGAAGAUGCCAAAAGAGAAGGGAGAAGAAAGUGAUCUUGAGCUGGAGAGAAGGUUUUCGAGGUGAAGGAGUAGGAAAAAAAUCUCCAAUUACGUACAUCCACGAUGUGACCCAACUUCCACAUAAUGGAUGCCGACUCCCCAAAAAACGUUGUGUUCAAAUAGUUCCAACCAUUUUUGAAUCUCCAUUUUCACUUGACAAGAAAGAUUGUACAUUCGCAACGAGUACAUGUUCGCAAUCAAAUGAGCAAAAAUUUAAACCUCCUGGGACUAUUCUACUAUGCCCUAAGAGUGUACAUUCGCAAAGAAUAAGUUUUUGCAAUUAGACGAGCCAAUAUUGGUGUGACGCCCCAACUUCCCAGGGGGUCACCCAUCCUAGGACUACUCCUGUCCUAGCACGCUUAACUCUCUUAACCUCUUGGGCCUUGCCACCACCCAAAAUGCUUAAGCCGGGUUAAGAGUUUAGCCCUAUUAUAUCUCAUAUAUAGGACUAUCUGGGGUCUCACAAUCUCCCCUUCUUUAAGCCCUGACGUCCUCAUCAGGCUCAGACUCACAAGUACCAGGCCAGGCGAUGUGAGACUUAUCUCACUAGCCCGUCAUCCAGACCAUGGCUCAGCCGAGACUCAUCUCACACUUCCGGCUGGUAAUUGGCUCUGAUAAUUAGACUACUCAGUUGCGCCCUAACAGUAUUAACUUUGCAACGAGUACUUUUUCUCAUUUUAUCGAAGAAAACGCAAAAUCUAAUUAUAUUGUUCUAUUAUGCCCAGAGAGUGUAAAUUUGGAACGAAUCGAUGUCAACGCUCACAUGAACAAAAAUCGGGACAACAUUAGACUACUCAGUUGCGCCAUAACAGUAUAACUUUGCAACGAGUGCUUUUUCUCAUUUCAUCGUAGAAAGCGCAAAUCCAAUUAUAUUGUUCUAUUAUGCCCAGAGAGUGUAAAUUUGGAACGAACCGAUGUCAACGCUCACAAGAAAAAAAAAACCGGAACAACAUUAGACUACUUAGUUGCGCCCUAACAGUAUAACUUUGCAACGAGUACUUAUUCUCAUUUUAUCGAACAAAGCGUCAAACCUAAUUAUAUUGAUUUAUUAUGCCCAGAGAGUGUAAAUUUGGAACGAAUCAAUGUCAGCGCUCACAGGAACAAAAACCGGAACAACAAUAGACUGCUUAGUUGCGCCAUAACAGUAUAACUUUGCAACGAGUGCUUUUUCUCAUUUUAUCGAAAAAGCGCAAAUUUAAUUAUAUUGUUCUAUAAUGCCCAGAGAGUGUAAAAUUUGGAACGAAUCGAUGUCAACGCUCACAAGAACAAAAACCGGAACAACAUCAGACUACUCAGUUGCGCCAUAACAGUAUAACUUUGCAACGAGUGCUUUUUCUCAUUUUAUCGAAGAAAAAGAGUAAAACAUAAUUAUAUUGUUCUAUUAUGCCCAGAGAGUGUAAAUUUGGAACGAAUCGAUGUCAACGCUCGCAAGAACAAAAACCGAAACAACUUUAGACUACUCAGUUGCGCAAUAACAGUAUAACAUUGCAACGAGUGAUUUUUCUCAUUUUAUCGAAGAAAGCGUAAAACCUAAUUAUAUUUUUCUAUUAUGACCAGAGAGUGUAAAUUUGGAACGAAUCGAUGUCAACGCUCACAAGAACAAAAAUCGGAACAACAUUAGACUACUCAGUUGCUCCAUAACAGUAUAACUUUGCAACGAGUACUUUUUCUCAUUUUAUCGAAGAAAACGCAAAAUCUAAUUAUAUUGUUCUAUUAUGCCCAGAGAGUGUAAAUUUGGAACGAAUCGAUGUCAACGCUCACAUGAACAAAAAUCGGGACAACAUUAGACUACUGAGUUGCGCCCUAACAGUAUAAAUUUGCAACGAGACCUUUUUCUCAUUUUAUCGAAGAAAGCAUCAAACCUAAUUAUAUUGUUCUAUUAUGCCCAGACAGUGUAAUUUUGGAACGAAUCGAUGUCAACGCUCACAAGAAUAAAAACCGGAACAACAUUAGACUACUCAGUCGCGCCCUAACAGUAUAACUUUGCAACGAGUACUUUUUCUCAUUUUAUCGAACAAAGCGUCAAACCUAAUUAUAUUGAUUUAUUAUGCCCAGAGAGUGUAAAUUUAGAACGAAUCGAUGUCAACGCUCACAAGAACAAAAACCGGAACAACAAUAGACUACUUAGUUGCGCCAUAACAGUAUAACUUUGCAACGAAUGCUUUUUCUCAUUUUAUCGAAAAAGCGCAAAUUUAAUUAUAUUGUUCUAUAAUGCCCAGAGAGUGUAAAAUUUGGAACGAAUCGAUGUCAACGCUCACAAGAACAAAAACCGGAACAACAUGAGACUACUCAGUUACGCCCUAACAGUAUAAAUUUGCAACGAGCACUUUUUCUCAUUUUAUCGAAGAAAGCAUUAAACCUAAUUAUAUUGUAAUAUUAUGCCCAGAGGGUGUAAAUUUGGAACGAAUCGAUGUCAACGCUCACAAGAACAAAAACCGGAACAACAUUAGACUACUCAGUUGCGCCAUAACAGUAUAAUUUUGCAACGAGUGCUUUUCUCAUUUCAUCGAAGAAAGCGCAAAUCUAAUUAUAUUGUUCUAUUAUGCCCAGAGAGUGUAAAUUUGGAACGAAAUCGAUGUCAACGCUCACAAGAACAAAAACAGGAACAACAUUAGACUACUCAGUUGCGCCCUUACAGUAUAACUUUGCAACGAGUACUUUUUCUCAUUUUAUCGAAGAAAGCGUAAAACCUAAUUGUAUUCUUCUAUUAUGCCCAGAGAGUGUAAAUUUGGAACGAAUCGAUGUCAACGUUCACAAGAACAAAAACCGGAACAACAUUAGACUACUCAGUUGCGCCCUAACAGUAUAACUUUGCGACGAGUACUUUUUCUCAUUCUAUCGAACAAAGAGUAAAACAUAAUUAUAUUGUUCUAUUAUGCCCAGAGAGUGUAAAUUUGGAACGAAUCGAUGUCAACGCUCGCAAGAACAAAAACCGAAACAACUUUAGACUACUCAGUUGCGCAAUAACAGUAUAACAUUGCAACGAGUGAUUUUUCUCAUUUUAUCGAAGAAAGCGUAAAACCUAAUUAUAUUUUUCUAUUAUGACCAGAGAGUGUAAAUUUGGAACGAAUCGAUGUCAACGCUCACAAGAACAAAAAUCGGAACAACAUUAGACUACUCAGUUGCGCCCUAACAGUAUAACUUUGCAACGAGUACUUAUUCUCAUUUUAUCGAACAAAGCGUCAAACCUAAUUAUAUUGAUUUAUUAUGCCCAGAGAGUGUAAAUUUGGAACGAAUCAAUGUCAGCGCUCACAGGAACAAAAACCGGAACAACAAUAGACUGCUUAGUUGCGCCAUAACAGUAUAACUUUGCAACGAGUGCUUUUUCUCAUUUUAUCGAAAAAGCGCAAAUUUAAUUAUAUUGUUCUAUUCUGCCCAGAGAGUGUAAAUUUGGAACGAAUCGAUGUCAACGCUCACAAGAAAAAAAACCAGAACAACAUUAGACUACUCAGUUGCGACAUAACAGUAUAACUUUGCAACGAGUACUUUUUCUCAUUUUAUCGAAGAAAACGCAAAAUCUAAUUAUAUUGUUCUAUUAUGCCCAGAGAGUGUAAAUUUGGAACGAAUCGAUGUCAACGCUCACAUGAACAAAAAUCGGGACAACAUUAGACUACUGAGUUGCGCCCUAACAGUAUAAAUUUGCAACGAGACCUUUUUCUCAUUUUAUCGAAGAAAGCAUCAAACCUAAUUAUAUUGUUCUAUUAUGCCCAGACAGUGUAAUUUUGGAACGAAUCGAUGUCAACGCUCACAAGAAUAAAAACCGGAACAACAUUAGACUACUCAGUCGCGCCCUAACAGUAUAACUUUGCAACGAGUACUUUUUCUCAUUUUAUCGAAGAAAGCGUCAAACCUAAUUAUAUUGUUCUAUAAUGCCCAGAGAGUGUAAAUUUGGAACGAAUCGAUAUCAACACUCACAAAAAUAAAAACCGGAACAACAUUUGAGUACUCAGUUGUGCCUCUAACAGGUAUAACUUUUUGCAACCAGUACUUUAUUCUCAUUUUUUUGAAGUAAGCGGCCAAAACUAAUUUAUAUUGUAUUCUAUUUAGCCCCAGAGAGCUUGUAAAUUUCUGGAACGAAUUGAUGUCAACGCUCCACAAGAACAAAAACUGGAACAAAAUUAGGCUACUUAGUUGCGCCCUAACAGUAUAACUUUGCAACGAGUGCUUUUUCACAUUUUAUCGAAGAAAGCGUCAAACCUAAUUAUAUUGCUCUAUAAUGCCCAGAGAGUGUAAAUUUGGAACGAAUCGAUAUCAACACUCACAAAAAUAAAAACCGGAACAACAUUUGAGCACUCAGUUGUGUGCCCUUAACAGGUAUAACUUUUGCAACCAGUACUUUUUCUUCAUUUUAUCGAAAGUAAUGCGUCAAAACUAAUUUAUAUUAUGUCUCUUUUACGCCCAGAAGAGAGUAAAUCUGGAACGGAAUCGAUGUCAACGCUCACAAGAACAAAAACUGGAACAAAAUUAGGCUACUUAGUUGCGCCCUAACAGUAUAACUUUGCAACGAGUGCUUUUUCACAUUUUAUCGAAGAAAGCGUCAAACCUAAUUAUAUUGCUCUAUAAUGCCCAGAGAGUGUAAAUUUGGAACGAAUCGAUAUCAACACUCACAAAAAUAAAAACCGGAACAACAUUUGAGUACUCAGUUGCGCCUUAACAGUAUAACUUUGCAACCAGUACUUUUUCUCAUUUUAUCGAAGUAAGCGUCAAACCUAAUUAUAUUAUUCUAUUAUGCCCAGAGAGUGUAAAUUUGGAACGAUUCGAUGUCAACGCUCACAAGAACAAAAACCGGAACAACAUUAGACUCUUCAGUUGCACCCUAACAGUAUAACUUUGCAACGCGUACUUUUUCUCGUUUUAUCGAAGAAAGCGUAAAAUCUAAUUAUAUUGUUGUAUUAUGCCCAGAUAGUGUAAAUUUGGAACGAAUCGAUGUCAACGCUCACAAGAACAAAAACCGGAACAACAUUAGAGCACUCAGUUCCGCCAUAACAGUAUAACUUUGCAACGAGUGCUUUUUUUCAUUUUAUCGAAGAAAGCGUAAAACCUAGUUAUAUUAUUCUAUUAUGCCCAGAGAGUGUAAAUUUGGAACGAAUCGAUUUCAACGCUCACAAGAACAAAAACCGGAACAACAUUAGACUACUCAGUUGCGCCCUAACAGUAUAACUUUGCAACGAGUACUUUUUCUCAUUUAUCGAAGAAAGCGUCAAACCUAAUUAUAUUGUUCUAUCUUGCCCAGAGAGUGUAAAUUUGGAACGAAUCGAUGUCAAAGCUCACAAGAACAAAAAUCGGAUCAAUAUUAGACUACUCAGUUGCGCCCUAACAGUAUAACUUUGCAACGAGUGCUUUUUCUCAUUUUAUCGAAGAAAGCGUAAAUCUAAUUAUAUUGUUCUAUUAUACCUAGAGAGUGUAAAAUUGGAACGAACUGAUGUGAGCGCUCACAAGAACAAAAACCGGAUCAAUAUUAGACUACUCAGUUCCGCCCUAACAGUAUAACUUUGCAACGAGUACUUUUUCUCAUUUAUCGAAGAAAGCGUCAAACCUAAUUAUAUUGUUCUAUUAUGCCCAGAGAGUGUAAAUUUGGAACGAAUCGAUUUUAAAGCUCACAAGAACAAAAACCGGAACAAUAUUAGACAACUCAGUUGCGCCCGAACAGUAUAACUUUGCAACGAGUGCUUUUUCUCAUUUUAUCGAAGAAAGCGUCAAACCUCAUUAUAUUGUUCUAUUAUGCCGAGAGAGUGUAAAUUUGGAACGAAUCGAUGUCAACGCUCACAAGAACAAAAACCGGAACAACAUUAGACUCUUCAGUUGCACCCUAACAGUAUAACUUUGCAACGCGUACUUUUUCUCGUUUUAUCGAAGAAAGCGUAAAAUCUAAUUAUAUUGUUGUAUUAUGCCCAGAUAGUGUAAAUUUGGAACGAAUCGAUGUCAACGCUCACAAGAACAAAAACCGGAACAACAUUAGAGCACUCAGUUCCGCCAUAACAGUAUAACUUUGCAACGAGUGCUUUUUUUCAUUUUAUCGAAGAAAGCGUAAAACCUAGUUAUAUUAUUCUAUUAUGCCCAGAGAGUGUAAAUUUGGAACGAAUCGAUUUCAACGCUCACAAGAACAAAAACCGGAACAACAUUAGACUACUCAGUUGCGCCCUAACAGUAUAACUUUGCAACGAGUACUUUUUCUCAUUUUAUCGAAGAAAGCGUAAAAUCUAAUUAUAUUGUUCUAUUAUUCCCAGAUAGUGUAAAUUUGGAACGAAUUGAUGUCAACGCUCACAAGAACAAAAACCGGAACAACUUUAGACUACUCAGUUGCGCCUAACAGUAUAACUUUGCAACGAGUACUUUUUCUCAUUUUAUCGAAGAAAGCGUCAAAACUAAUUAUAUUGUUCUAUUACGCCCAGAGAGUGUAAAUUUGGAACGAAUUGAUGUCAACGCUCACAAGAACAAAAACUGGAACAAAAUUAGGCUACUUAGUUGCGCCCUAACAGUAUAACUUUGCAACGAGUGCUUUUUCACAUUUUAUCGAAGAAAGCGUCAAACCUAAUUAUAUUGCUCUAUAAUGCCCAGAGAGUGUAAAUUUGGAACGAAUCGAUAUCAACACUCACAAAAAUAAAAACCGGAACAACAUUUGAGUACUCAGUUGCGCCUUAACAGUAUAACUUUGCAACCAGUACUUUUUCUCAUUUUAUCGAAGUAAGCGUCAAACCUAAUUAUAUUAUUCUAUUAUGCCCAGAGAGUGUAAAUCUGGAACGAAUCGAUGUCAACGCUCACAAGAACAAAAACCGGAACAACAUUAGACUACUCAGUUGCGCCAUAACAAUAUAACUUUGCAACGAGUACUUUUUCUUAUUUUAUCGAAGAAAGCGUAAAUCCUAAUUAUAUUAUUCUAUUAUGCCCAGAGAGAGUAAAUUUAGAACCAAUCGAUGUCAACGCUCACAAGAACAAAAAUCGGAACAACAAUAGACUACUCAGUUGCACCCUAACAGUAUAACUUUACAACGAGUGCUUUUUCUCAUUUUAUCGAAGAAGGCGUCAAACCUAAUUAUAUUGUUCUAUUAUUCCGAGAAAGUGUAAAUUUGGAACGAAUCGAUGUCAAAGCUCACAAGAACAAAAACCGGAACAAUAUUGGACUACUCAGUUGCGCCCUAACAGUAUAACUUUGCAACGAGUGCUUUUUCCCAUUUUAUCGAAGAAAGCGUAAAUGCUAAUUAUAUUGUUCUAUUAUGCCCAGAGAGUGUAAAUUUGGAACGAACCGAUGUCAGCGCUCACAAGAACAAAAACCGGAACAACAUUAGACUAAUCAGUUGCGCCCGAACAGUAUAAUUUUGCAACGAGUGAUUUUUCUCAUUUUAUCGAAGAAAGCGUCAAACCUAAUUAUAUUGUUCUAUUAUGCCCAGAGAGUGUAAAUUUGGAACGAAUCGAUGUCAACGCUCACAUGAACAAAAAUCGGGACAACAUUAGACUACUGAGUUGCGCCCUAACAGUAUAAAUUUGCAACGAGACCUUUUUCUCAUUUUAUCGAAGAAAGCAUCAAACCUAAUUAUAUUGUUCUAUUAUGCCCAGACAGUGUAAUUUUGGAACGAAUCGAUGUCAACGCUCACAAGAAUAAAAACCGGAACAACAUUAGACUACUCAGUCGCGCCCUAACAGUAUAACUUUGCAACGAGUACUUUUUCUCAUUUUAUCGAAGAAAGCGUCAAACCUAAUUAUAUUGUCUAUUAUGACCAGAGAGUGUAAAUUUGGAACGAAUCGAUGUCAACGCUCACAAGAACAAAAACCGGAAGAAAAUUAGACCACUUAGUUGCGCCCUAACAGUAUAACUUUGCAACGAGUACUUUUUCUCAUUUUAUCGAAUAAAGCGUAAAACCUAAUUAUAUUGUUCUAUUAUGCCCAGAGAGUGUAAAUUUGGAACGAAUCGAUGUCAACGCUCACAAGAACAAAAACCGGAAUAACUUUAGACUACUCAGUUGCGCCAUAACAAUAUAACUUUGCAA
RNAcentral lists this long non-coding RNA (10681 nucleotides) under Ananas comosus (pineapple). RNAcentral describes it as "long non-coding RNA (ACOM_LNC038165)". The record is from RNAcentral. Lineage: Eukaryota; Viridiplantae; Streptophyta; Magnoliopsida; Poales; Bromeliaceae.